AUGAUGUAUUGUGUAAGGAAGAACUGAUAUAUCUCAUGUCUUGUGUUAUGAUGUAUUGUGUAAGGAAGAACUGAUAUAUCUCAUGUCUUGUGUUAUGAUGUUUGCAAUAUAUUUAGAAAUCCAAAGUGAUAUUUGUGUAGAGUACAGGAGAAGUGCAUGUGAAGUAUAAUGAAACGCAUUACAAUUCAUAUAAUUAUGAAGUUUGGAGACAGCAACCAAGUGACGUAAAAAUGUAAUGACAUAUAUUAAGUUUUUCUGAGUUGCUCUGUGUAGUGUGUAAUGACAUAUUUUAUGUUUUUUUAGUUGCUCUGUGUAGUGUGUAAUGACAUAUUUUAUGUUUUUUUUAGUUGCUCUGUGUAGUGUGUAAUGACAUAUUUUAUGUUUUUUUUAGUUGCUCUGUGUAGUGUGUAAUGACAUAUUUUAUGUUUUUUUUAGCUGCUCUGUGUAGUGUGUAAUGACAUAUUUUAUGUUUUUUUUGUUGCUUUGUGUAGUGUGUAAUGACAUAUUUUAUGCUUUUUUGAGCUGCUGUGUGUAGUGUGUAAUGACAUAUUUUAUGUUUUUUGUGUUGCUUUGUGUAGUGUGUAAUGAUAUAUUUUAUGCUUUUUUGAGCUGCUCUGUGUAGUGUGUAAAGACAUAUUUUAUAUUUUUUUGAGCUGCUCUGUUUAGUGUGUAAUGACAUAUAUUAUGUUUUUUGUGUUGCUUUGUGUAGUGUGUAAUGACAUAUAUUAUGUUUUUUGUGUUGCUUUGUGUAGUGUGUAAUGACAUAUUUUAUGUUUUUUGUGUUGCUUUGUGUAGUUUAUAAUGACAUAUUUUAUGCUUUUUUUAGCUGCUCUGUGUAGUGUGUAAUGACAUAUUUAUGUGUUUUUGAGCUGCUCUGUGUAGUGUGUAACAAGUGAAACUGUGAGCUACUGCUCACUGAUGAUACCCCCCCCGCAAGUGGAUAAUAUUAAUAGUGUAAAAAUAUGCAAGUGUUCGGUAAACAGGAAGUUGUCGAGUGAUGAAUCUGAACACGCAUCACACGGUAUAGCUGACUUAUAAAAAUCCUGAAACCAAAUUUCUGAAAUCCUUGUAUUGUAGUUCCUGAGAAAAAUGUGACGAAAAAUUUUUUAACUUGGUUAUCAUGUGUAAAAUCAUACAAGUGUUCGGUAAACAGGAAGUAGUCGAGUGAUGAAUCUGAAAACGCAUCACAGGGUAUAGCUGACUUAUAUAAAUCCUGAAACCAAAUUUCAGAAAUCCUUGUAUUGUAGUUCCUGAGAAAAAUGUGACGAAAAUUUUCAACUUGGUUAUCAUGUGUAAAAUCAUACAAGUGUUCGGUAAACAGGAAGUUGUCGAGUGAUGAAUCUGAAAACGCAUCACACGGUAUAGCUGACUUAUAUAAAUCCUGAAACCAAAUUUCAGAAAUCCUUGUAUUGUAGUUCCUGAGAAAAAUGUGACGAAAAUUUUCAACUUGGCUAUCAUGUGUAAAAUCAUACAAGUGUUCGGUAAAUAGGAAGUUGUCGAGUGAUGAAUCUGAAAACGCAUCACACGGUAUAGCUGACUUAUAUAAAUCCUGAAACCAAAUUUCAGAAAUCCUUGUAUUGUAGUUCCUGAGAAAAAUGUGACGAAAAUUUUCAACUUGGCUAUCAUGUGUAAAAUCAGACAAGUGUUCGGUAAACAGGAAGUUGUCAAGUUAUGAAUCUGAAAACGCAUCACACGGUAUGGCUGACAUAUAUAAAUGUGGAUACCAAAUUACAGAAAGGGUGGAUGUGUAGUUCCUGAGAAAAAUGUGACGAAAGUUUCAUGGGACGGACUGACUGACAGACUGACGGACGGACGGACUGACAGACAGAGGUAAAACAGUAUACCCCCCCCUUUUUUAAAGCGGGGGUAUAAUGACAUAUUUUAUGUUUUUUUGAGUUGCUCUGUGUAGUGUGUAAUGACAUUUUAUGGUUUUUUUUAGUUGCUCUGUUUUAGUGUUUAUGACAUGUUUUAUGUUUUUUUUGUUUCUGUGUAGUGUUUAAUGUUUUUUUUUUAAGUUGCUCGUGUAGUGUGUAAUGACAUAUUUUAUGUUUUUUUAGCUGCUCUGUGUAGUGUGUAAUGACAAUUUUAUGUUUUUUUAGUUGUUCUGUGUAGUGUGUAAUGACAUAUUUUAUGUUUUUUUUUUAGUUGCUCUGUGUAGUGUGUAAUGACAUAUUUUAUGUUUUUUUGAGCUGCUCUGUGUAGUGUGUAAUGACAUAUUUUAUGUUUUUUUGAAGUUGCUCUGUGUAGUGUGUAAUGACAUAUUUUAUUUUUUUUAGUUGCUCUGUGUAGUGUGUAAUGACAUAUUUUAUGUUUUUUUUAGCUGCUCUGUGUAGUGUGUAAUGACAUAUUUUAUGUUUUUUUAGCUGCUCUGUGUAGUGUGUAAUGACAUAUUUUAUGUUUUUUUGAGUUGCUCUGUGUAGUGUGUAAUGACAUAUUUUAUGUGUUUUUUUUAGUUGCUCUGUGUAGUGUGUAAUGACAUAUUUUAUGUUUUUUUUGAGUUGCUCUGUGUAGUGUGUAAUGACAUAUUUUAUGUUUUUUGAGUUGCUCUGUGUAGUGUGUAAUGACAUAUUUUAUGUUUUUUUUUGAGUUGCUCUGUGUAGUGUGUAAUGACAUAUUUUAUGUUUUUUUGAGUUGCUCUGUGUAGUGUGUAAUGACAUAUUUUAUGUUUUUUUGAGCUGCUCUGUGUAGUGUGUAAUGACAUAUUUUAUGUUUUUUUUGAGUUGCUCUGUGUAGUGUGUAAUGACAUAUUUUAUGUUUUUUUUUAGUUGCUCUGUGUAGUGUGUAAUGACAUAUUUUAUGUUUUUUUGAGUUGCUCUGUGUAGUGUGUAAUGACAUAUUUUAUGUUUUUUUUAGUUGCUCUGUGUAGUGUGUAAUGACAUAUUUUAUGUUUUUUUAGUUGCUCUGUGUAGUGUGUAAUGACAUAUUUUAUGUUUUUUUUAGCUGCUCUGUGUAGUGUGUAAUGACAUAUUUAUGUUGUUUUUUAAAGCUGCUCUGUGUAGUGUGUAAUGACAUAUUUUAUGUUUUUUUUUAGCUG
RNAcentral lists this long non-coding RNA (3034 nucleotides) under Mytilus galloprovincialis (Mediterranean mussel). Lineage: Eukaryota; Metazoa; Mollusca; Bivalvia; Mytilida; Mytilidae. The record is from RNAcentral.